CGCAAUGGGCGAAAGCCUGACGGAGCAACGCCGCGUGAGGGAUGAAGGCCUCUGGGCUGUAAACCUCUUUUAUCAAGGAAGAAGAUCUGACGGUACUUGAUGAAUAAGCCACGGCUAAUUCCGUGCCAGCAGCCGCGGUAAUACGGGAGUGGCAAGCGUUAUCCGGAAUUAUUGGGCGUAAAGCGUCCGCAGGCGGCCUCGUAAGUCUGUCGUUAAAGCGUGGAGCUUAACUCCAUUAAGGCGAUGGAAACUGUGAGGCUUGAGUGUGGUAGGGGCAGAGGGAAUUCCCGGUGUAGCGGUGAAAUGCGUAGAUAUCGGGAAGAACACCAGUGGCGAAGGCGCUCUGCUGGGCCAUAACUGACGCUCAUGGACGAAAGCCAGGGGAGCGAAAGGGAUUAGAUAC
This 403-nucleotide ribosomal RNA is filed under the name uncultured cyanobacterium. RNAcentral's name for it is "bacterial SSU rRNA". It matches the Rfam family "Bacterial small subunit ribosomal RNA", at positions 367 to 785 of the family's 1533-position model. Lineage: Bacteria; Bacillati; Cyanobacteriota. The record is from RNAcentral.